CCUACGGGUGGCAGCAGUGAGGAAUAUUGGUCAAUGGGCGCGAGCCUGAACCAGCCAAGUAGCGUGAAGGAUGACUGCCCUACGGGUUGUAAACUUCUUUUAUAAAGGAAUAAAGUGAGGCACGUGUGCCGUUUUGUAUGUACGUUAUGAAUAAGGAUCGGCUAACUCCGGGCCAGCAUCCGCGGUAAUACGGAGGAUCCGAGCGUUAUCCGGAUUUAUUGGGGUUAAAGGGAGCGUAGAUGGGUUGUUAAGUCAGUUGUGCCAGUUUGCGGCUCAACCGGAAAAUUGCAAUUGAUACUGGCAGUCUUGAGUACCGUUGCGGUAGGCGGACUUCGUGGUGUAGCG
This 345-nucleotide ribosomal RNA is filed under the name uncultured bacterium. RNAcentral describes it as "partial 16S ribosomal RNA". It matches the Rfam family "Bacterial small subunit ribosomal RNA", at positions 338 to 680 of the family's 1533-position model. The record is from RNAcentral.